Molecule: unclassified non-coding RNA, 304 nt
Filed under: Orbilia sp.
Lineage: Eukaryota; Fungi; Ascomycota; Orbiliomycetes; Orbiliales; Orbiliaceae
Description: partial contains 5.8S ribosomal RNA, internal transcribed spacer 2, and large subunit ribosomal RNA
Rfam family: 5.8S ribosomal RNA (bases 1-52)
Source: RNAcentral
AACGCACCUUGCGCUCCCUAGUAUUCUGGGGAGCAUGUCUGUUUGAGUGUCAUGAACUCUUCAACCCUCCAGUUUCUUGUAGACUGGCAGGUGUUUGGAUUUUGAAUGUUGCAUGGUCUUCGGACGUAGCUCAUUCGUAAUACAUUAGCAUCUCUAAUUCGAAUUCGGAUUGACUCAGUGUAAUAGACUAUUCGCUGAGGACACUUUUAUUAGUGGCCGAACAAGAUAAUUGUAGAAGCUUCCAACCUCUAUAGUCAACUUUAGAUUAGACCUCAGAUCAGGUAGGGAUACCCGCUGAACUUAA